This is a long non-coding RNA of Notolabrus celidotus (New Zealand spotty), 589 nucleotides long. RefSeq lists it as uncharacterized. Lineage: Eukaryota; Metazoa; Chordata; Actinopteri; Labriformes; Labridae. The transcript has 3 exons. The record is from RefSeq and is a predicted model, not a curated record.
GGUCAGUGCAGUGACCUGGCUCCCUGGCUUGGCGACACACAGCGACGAGGGGGACUUCAUCAUGGCUGCGAGGGGAGACAGCCAGGCGACUGAUGCAGGUUUGCCAGAGCACUGGAGGGACGUGAGAGAGUGGAGCAUAGAGAAGAGACAAAGCCACAGAAUGUGGGUUGCAGAUGUGGAGGGCGUCCUCAGGUCCAUGGCGAGACAGCUGAAUGCCUCUCUGGAGAAAUAUCCUCGUUAUAAAGGACGAAACAGCCCAGAGUGUUGGCCUUCAUCUUCUUCAAACCGCUGCAAGUCUCUCUCCAGCCAUCCUGCUGAUCCAGAAGGGUGGCUUUAGAAGUGUAUGAGCUAUUUGAAGGCAGAUUUAAAGAAAAAUCACACAAUCUUUGUCAUGAUUUUCUCAGAAAAUCUCCCUUCUUAAAUCACUCAUGCAAUGACUGCUUGUCCUACACUGCUGUUUGACAUUCAGGAGAGCCAAAUCAUUUCGAACCAGAGUGUGUUAUUACUCAUCUGUCCCAUAAGAAAAAAAAAAAACACUUUAAGCAUUUUUGGAAUUUCUGCUUACUUUUCAUUACUAACUUGCUCAAGA